Molecule: ribosomal RNA, 425 nt
Filed under: uncultured bacterium
Lineage: Bacteria
Description: bacterial SSU rRNA
Rfam family: Bacterial small subunit ribosomal RNA
Source: RNAcentral
GUGGGGAAUCUUAGACAAUGGGGGCAACCCUGAUCUAGCCAUGCCGCGUGAGUGAUGAAGGCCUUAGGGUCGUAAAGCUCUUUCGCUGGGGAAGAUAAUGACGGUACCCAGUAAAGAAACCCCGGCUAACUCCGUGCCAGCAGCCGCGGUAAUACGGAGGGGGUUAGCGUUGUUCGGAAUUACUGGGCGUAAAGCGCGCGUAGGCGGAUUGGAAAGUUGGGGGUGAAAUCCCGGGGCUCAACCCUGGAAUGGCCUUCAAAACUCCCAGUCUUGAGGUCGAGAGAGGUGAGUGGAAUUCCGAGUGUAGAGGUGAAAUUCGUAGAUAUUCGGAGGAACACCAGUGGCGAAGGCGGCUCACUGGCUCGAUACUGACGCUGAGGUGCGAAAGCGUGGGGAGCAAACAGGAUUAGAUACCCCGGUAGUCC